RNAcentral lists this ribosomal RNA (253 nucleotides) under uncultured bacterium. RNAcentral describes it as "partial 16S ribosomal RNA". It matches the Rfam family "Bacterial small subunit ribosomal RNA", at positions 524 to 776 of the family's 1533-position model. The record is from RNAcentral.
UACGGGGGGGGUAAGCGUUGUUCGGAAUUACUGGGCGUAAAGGGCUCGUAGGCGGCCAACUAAGUCAUACGUGAAAUCCCUCAGCUUAACUGGGGAACUGCGUGUGAUACUGGAUGGCUUGGAUUUGGGAGAGGGAUGCGGAAUUCCAGGUGUAGCGGUGAAAUGCGUAGAUAUCGCUUGGAACGCCGAAGGUGAAAACAGGCUGCUGGGGUUGUGCCGACGCUGAGACACGAAAGCCAGGGGAGCAAACGGG